GACUGAUCAUUUCUUUGUCAUUGGGAAAACGUACAAAAUCAGCAGGGAUCAAAUACAUUUUUCACUUAACGUACAAUACACAUGAUUUACUGAGAAUGUCGUUGUCCAUGUAGGGAGAUGUAGCGCAGUGGAUCAUAUCGUCUCUGCUAUGUUUCGGAAUCCGUGUGAUCACCCAGUCACAUCGCCUAACUCCAGUCACAGCGCCUUACACAAACUACAUCUCCCCAACAAGGCAGCCUUCCCGCUGCUGUGUAUUGUGUUUAUGGGAUAACAGAGGUAUCUAUUAUCCCCUACGCCUUGACCAAAACGACUGAUUGCCCGCUUAACACCCUAGUCCGUAAACCACUAAUGGUGACAGUGUUGUUUGAGAGCAGCUAUUAAAGUCGCUGCGGCAAAUGAGGUGGUGGCUGGCCGAACCGUGCCUCGCUGUUUGUCUCCGGAGUGAUGACAGAUACAAACCAGACCAAGCGGAGGCCAUGUACCAGAUCGGGUUUUGGUUACUGAUGUUAGAGUGAUUGUGUUGCAAGUGUGGUCACUACGCGUCUGAACGUGCUCAAGCCCCGAAGCUCGGCGGUUGUGGGCAACGCCACGGGACUGCAUUCACUUUAAUUCGAGGACAAUGGAGGGCAUGGGGAACGUGUUUUUCCAGCGCUAAUCCAAUUUAUUCAAAAUAAGCGCGCAAUUACACAAUGAGAUGCACUUACAUAUUCAGGCAUGAAACACAAUGGGCACAUUACCAUUCGGUAUGUUAAUAGACAUACGGAUUGUACCUUCCAAAAUUUAACAAUCGAAUGCAUAUAUCCUGAAAGACAAAGGAUUGGAUCCUAGGAGGGGAGUUAUAAGGCGGCUCAGAAGCAGAGCUCAAGGCCAUUUCGAGAGGGAACUUGAUGAGGCUGGACGCUCGACUCGUCGCUCUGCUGAUCGCCCUUCUAACGCGAGACAACGCAGCCUGGUGAACACAAUUGCUGUGUCGACAGUUAGGCGACUUUGCUUCGUAUGGUGAGUGAAUAUGCGAGUUCGUGGGGACAUCUUCAGACGGGUUACAGACAUCGAUUCACCGUGAAUCUCCAAUUUACGAGCCCCAGAGGCUCGGCGUGCCUCAAGGAUCCGCCACGUGAGAGGGAGCGGUGCCUGGAGCCCGCUCAUAUUCUUCACAAGAAGCCAGGGACCCGCCUAACCCUUCAAGGUUGUGGUGCGAACCCUUGACGCCCGGAAGGGCACAAGAUUCCAUCAUGGGCGAGGCACCGGCGGCGAGAAGCCGGUCAAAAUGCGCAAAGUUGCGAUUGUAGGAUCCACACCCAACACACGGACAAUAGAAGGGUCCCCUUGGACAACGUGGAAGCGUAUUAGGAUUUGUGUGUGGUUGUUGUUGUUUUGUUGGUUUAUUGUUGUUGUUGUUGUCGGGUGAGUAGGGUCACACGGCUUACCCCUUACAGAUGAACGUUAAGAUUGUGAUUGUAGCGGCGUCGGAAAAAAUUUGCUGCAGCUGCUGCCCUGACGCACGUGGCUUCUAAAAAUUGUUGUUAGCCGAGACGGCUCAUUUUGUUUUAAGAUGGUUGUUGUGAAGACAGUGCCUCAACGAAGGGACAAGCGGUGACAACAGGAGAGAGAGAGUUCAAGAAGAGAAGGCUGGACCAAGGGUGGAGGGAGGUUGACGCCGAGAGAGAGUUGAAGGAACGAGGUUCAGGGCUGUGUUAGUGGGGAUUCGGGUCACGGCUGGUUGCCGUUAAGGCGUCGUCGUUGCUAUAUCGUGACGCCGGGGUCCUAAGCCGCGUUAAAGGCAAAAUAAAAGAACCCUCUACAGUCUGAGUCCGGAGUCAUUACAAUUGCAACUAUUAAUAAUCUCACGGACUUGGGUUUGUGCGUUUAUUUAAACAUUUAUAUAUACACGGAUAUUGUAUAGUGCUAUUCGAUGUCAUUCAGAUGGAACAUUCAUCUAGCUGAUGAUGAUUGCUUGUGUUGCAGUCGAAACGUCGUGAGAAUUUUAUUGCUUUAUAUUUUUAUUAUUUU
This is a non-coding RNA of Petromyzon marinus (sea lamprey), 2010 nucleotides long. Lineage: Eukaryota; Metazoa; Chordata; Hyperoartia; Petromyzontiformes; Petromyzontidae. The record is from RefSeq and is a predicted model, not a curated record.